Molecule: ribosomal RNA, 1264 nt
Filed under: Rhopalomyia pomum
Lineage: Eukaryota; Metazoa; Arthropoda; Insecta; Diptera; Cecidomyiidae
Description: 16S ribosomal RNA
Source: RNAcentral
AUUGUUUAAAUUAAAUAUUUAUUUUUUAUAAAUUUAAAAUUAAUUUUUUAAAAAAAAAAUAUUUUUUAAGUAAAAAAGUUUUAAAAAAAAUAUUUUUAAUUAAUUAAUUAAUAUAUAAUUAUUAUAAAUUAAAUAAAUAUUAAUUUAUUUGUAUCUUGUGUAUCAAAGUUGUUUUAAUUUUUUAAUAAAUUAAAAUUAUUAUUUCGAAAUAAAAAGAUUUAAUUUAAAUAAUUAUUUUUUAUUUCAUAAAAAUUAAAAAAUUUAAAUUAGUAAUAAUAAGUUUUUCGAUUUUUAUUAUAUUUAAUUUUUUUUGAAAUUAAUUUAAUUAAUUUUAUUUUGUUUUUAUAAAUUCUAUUUUUAAUAUAUAAAAUAUUUUAUAAAUAAUAUAAUUAGGGAUAAUCUUUAUUAUAAAUUUUAAAAAUUAUUUAUUUUUUUUAAUAAAAUUUAUAUUCUAAUAAAUAGUAAUUUUAAAAAUUUGUUAUAAUUUAUUUAUAAAUAAAAAAAAUUUUUAUAUUAUAUUUUAUAAAUUUUAAAAAAAUAAAAUAUUUAAUAAUUUUAUAUUUUAAUUUUUUGAUAAAUUAGUAAUAUUUUUAAAAUUUUAUAAUUAUUAAUUCGGCAAUUUUUUUUAUUCAACUGUUUAACAAAAACAUUGUUUUAUAUUUUUUUUAUAAAAUAAAUCCUGCCCAUUGAUUAUAAUUAUUAAAAGGCCGCAGUAUUUUGACUGUGCUAAGGUAGCAUAAUCAUUAGAUUUUUAAUUGAAAUCUUGUUUGAAUGGUUAAAUGAAAUAAAGACUUUAUUAUUAUAAUAAAUUAAAUUUUAUUUUUAAGUAAAAAAUCUUAAUUAAUUUUAAGGGACGAGAAGACCCUAUAGAAUUUAAAAUUAAUUUUAAAUUAAAUUUAUUUAUUAUUUUUAAAUUAAAUUUAAAAAUAAUUUUUUGUUGGGGUGAUAAUUAAAUUUUAAAAACUUUUAAGAUAUUUUUCAUAAAUAAAUGUUUUUUUGAUCCAUUUUUAAUGAUUAAAAAAUUAAAUUACCUUAGGGAUAACAGCAUUAUAUUAUUAAGAAGUUCUUAUUUUUAAUAUUGAUUAUGACCUCGAUGUUGGAUUAAAUAAAAUUUUUAUAUGAAGAUAUAUUAAUAAUAAGUCUGUUCGACUUUUAAUUAUUUACAUGAUCUGAGUUCAAACCGGUGUAAGCCAGGUUGGUUUCUAUCUUUAUAAUUUUUAUAUAUAGUACGAAAGGAAUUAAAUAAUUAUUAAAAAAAAAAUAU